Molecule: long non-coding RNA, 2710 nt
Filed under: Mytilus galloprovincialis (Mediterranean mussel)
Lineage: Eukaryota; Metazoa; Mollusca; Bivalvia; Mytilida; Mytilidae
Source: RNAcentral
AAAGAAAAGGUGACAUUAGACAUACUCAAAGGCCUUAACAGAAAACAUACCUGAAAAUCCUCAAUCUGCGUCGCGCCCUGCUAAAAAAAAAAAAAAGGCCACACGACCUAAAGGAAUUUCCAAUCUGCGUCAAGACCUGCUAGAAAAAAAGAAAAGGCGACAUUAGACAUACACAAAGGUCUUAAGAGAAAACAUACCUGGAAUACCUCAAUCUGCGUCGCGACCCUGCUAGAAAAAAAGAAAAGGCGACAUUAGACAUACACAAAGGUCUUAACAGAAAACAUACCUGGAAUUCCUCAAUCUGCGUCGCGACCUGCUAGAAAAAAAGAAAAGGCAACAUUAGACAUACACAAAGGUCUUAACAGAAAACAUACCUGGAAUCCUCAAUCUGCGUCGCGCCCUGCUAGAAAAAAGAAAAGACAACAUUAGACAUACACAAAGGUCUUAACAGAAAACAUACCUGAAAAUCCUCAAUCUGCGUCGCGCCCUGCUAGAAAAAAAGAAAAGACAACAUUAGACAUACACAAAGGUCUUAACAGAAAACAUACCUGGAAUUCCUCAAUCUGCGUCGCGACCUGCUAGAAAAAAAGAAAAGGCGUGAACAUUAGACAUACACAAAGGUCUUAACAGAAAACAUACCUGCGAAUCCUCAAUCUGCGUCGCGCCCUGCUAGAAAAAAAAGAAAAGACAACAUUAGACAUACACAAAGGUCUUAACAGAAAACAUACCUGAAAAUCCUCAAUCUGCGUCGCGCCCUGCCAAAAAAAAAGAAAAGCCCACAGACUAAAGGAAAAAAAAGGAACCAUUAGACAUACACAAAGGUCUUAACAGAAAACAUACCUGGAAUACCUCAAUCUGCGUCGCACCCUGCUAGAAAAAAAGAAAAGACAACAUUAGACAUACACAAAGGUCUUAAACAGAAAACAUACCUGGAAUUCCUCAAUCUGCGUCGCGACCUGCUAGAAAAAAAGAAAAGGCGACAUUAGACAUACACAAAGGUCUUAACAGAAAACAUACUACCUGCGAAUCCUGCAAUCUGCGUCGCGCCCUGCAGAAAAAAAAGAAAAGACAACAUUAGACAUACACAAAGGUCUUAACAGAAAACAUACCUGAAAAUCCUCAAUCUGCGUCGCGCCCUGCUAAAAAAAAAAAAAAGGCCACAUGACCUAAAGGAAUUUCCAAUCUGCGUCAAGACCUGCUAGAAAAAAAGAAAAGGCGAAAUUAGACAUACACAAAGGUCUUAACAGAAAACAUACCUGAAAAUCCUCAAUCUGCAUCGCGCCCUGCUAGAAAAAAAGAAAAGUCGACAUUAGACAUACACAAAGGCCUUAACAGAAAACAUACCUUGAAUCUCCAAUCUGCGUCGCGCCCUGCUAGAAAAAAAGAAAAGACAACAUUAGACAUACACAAAGGUCUUAACAGAAAACAUACCUGGAAUCCUCAAUCUGCGUCGCGCCCUGCUAGAAAAAAAAGAAAAGGCGCAAUUAGACAUACACAAAGGUCUUAACAGAAAACAUACCUGGGAAUCCUCAAUCUGCGUCGCGCCCUGCUAGAAAAAAAGAAAAGACAACAUUAGACAUACACAAAGGUCUUAACAGAAAACAUACCUGAAAAUCCUCAAUCUGCGUCAUAAAAAAAAGAAAGGCCACACGACCUAAAGGAAAAAAAAAGAAACAUUAGACAUACACAAAGGUCUUAACAGAAAACAUACCUGGAAUCCUCAAUCUGCGUCGCACCCUGCUAGAAAAAAAGAAAAGACAACAUUAGACAUACACAAAGGUCUUAACAGAAAACAUACCUGGAAUUCCUCAAUCUGCGUCGCGACCUGCUAGAAAAAAAGAAAAGGCAACAUUAGACAUACACAAAGGUCUUAACAGAAAACAUACCUGCGAAUCCUCAAUCUGCGUCGCGCCCUGCUAGAAAAAAAGAAAAGGCGAAAUUAGACAUACACAAAGGUCUUAACAGAAAACAUACCUGGAAUCCUCAAUCUGCGUCGCCCCUGCUAGAAAAAAAGAAAAGGCGAAAUUAGACAUACACAAAGGUCUUAACAGAAAACAUACCUGGAAUUCCUCAAUCUGCGUCGCGCCCUGCUAGAAAAAAAGAAAAGGCGACAUUAGACAUACACAAAGGUCUUAACAGAAAACAUACCUGCGAAUCUUCAAUCUGCGUCGCGCUCUGCUGGGAAAAAAAAGAAAAGACAACAUUAGACAUACACAAAGGUCUUAACAGAAAACAUACCUGGAAAUCCUCAAUCUGCGUCGCGCCCUGCUAAAAAAAAAAAAAGGCCACACGACCUAAAGGCAAUCUGCGUCAAGACCUGCUAGAAAAAAAGAAAAGGCGACAUUAGACAUACACAAAGGUCUUAACAGAAAACAUACCUGGAAUUCCUCAAUCUGCGUCGCGACCUGCUAGAAAAAAAGAAAAGGCGACAUUAGACAUACACAAAGGUCUUAACAGAAAACAUACCUGGAAUUCCUCAAUCUGCGUCGCGCCCUGCUAGAAAAAAAGAAAAGGCAACAUUAGACAUACACAAAGGUCUUAACAGAAAACAUACCUGAAAAUCCUCAAUCUGCGUCGCGCCCUGCUAGAAAAAAAGAAAAGGCAACAUUAGACAUACACAAAGGUCUUAACAGAAAACAUACCUUCGAAUCUUCAAUCUGCGUCGCGUCCUGCUGGAAAAAAAAAGAAAAGGUGACAUUAGACAUACUCA